UACGUAGGUGGCGAGCGUUAUCCGGAUUUAUUGGGCGUAAAGGGUGCGCAGACGGUUUAUUAAGUCUAAAAUCAAAUCUUGGGGCUCAACCCCAUUCCGUUUUAGAAACUGGUAGACUUGAGUAUGGUAGAGGCAAAUGGAAUUCCUAGUGUAGCGGUGGAAUGCGUAGAUAUUAGGAGGAACACCAGUGGCGAAGGCGAUUUGCUGGGCCAUUACUGACGUUCAUGCACGAAAGCGUGGGGAGCAAAUAGG
RNAcentral lists this ribosomal RNA (252 nucleotides) under uncultured bacterium. RNAcentral describes it as "partial 16S ribosomal RNA". It matches the Rfam family "Bacterial small subunit ribosomal RNA", at positions 524 to 776 of the family's 1533-position model. The record is from RNAcentral.